AUGGGUGGAUGUCCAAGCUGCCAUUCUGUCUGCACCGAGGGAAAACAAUACAUGCUUUUGUUAUUGAAACUCAUGUCCUGUUUUGAUUCGAAACUCCAAGGUCAUUAGUGACCAAAAUGUUCUCCAUCUCCUCUCUACUGUUUCAACCAAAGCAGAAGCUGAAAGACGGAAGGAAAAGAUUUUGGGGACGAAAGUGUAUGGCAUGAUGCGAGUUUACUAUGGACUUGGAGACUCUGGGAAUCCCUGGGAAGUAAGGAGAUGCAUGUCCCUGUUGGACUGGUGGAAAAGUGUGUGGAACUCACAAUCGCAAUGCAGUUUGUAAAAGGAAUCAUCACCAAAAAUGGCUACCAUGAGGGGAGAAAACUAGGGUAACUCAGGGGGCCCAGAACUCAAUAUGCAUGUGGUUCCUCCAAAAACAACUGAGGCCAUCAGUCCAAACUAUGGAGCAUGGAUACAGAAGAAAAGCAACCGUCACCCAUGGCAAGUUUUCAAGUCCAUCAAUGACCAAGAAUUAGGAAGGCUUGGAGGCUUGGCUAGUGGAGAGGAAUGUCAAGGCAGGCCCUUCCUUAGGGUUUCAUGUGGAAGACACAGGAGAAAGUAUAUAUAACUGGUGAGAACUGGAAGCAAUGAAUGAAUGAGACAGAGACAGAGGAAGGGGAAGCCCUUUUUAAAUAGUAAGUGUCCAAUAAUGGGACGGAUUGGCUUAA
This 707-nucleotide long non-coding RNA is filed under the name Homo sapiens (human). RNAcentral's name for it is "HSALNT0223385". The record is from RNAcentral. Lineage: Eukaryota; Metazoa; Chordata; Mammalia; Primates; Hominidae.